UACGUAGGGGGCGAGCGUUGUCCGGAUUUAUUGGGCGUAAAGAGCGUGUAGGCGGCCAGGUAGGUCUGCUGUGAAAACUCGAGGCUCAACCUCGAGACGUCGGCGGAAACCAUCUGGCUAGAGUCCGGAAGAGGAGAGUAGAAUUCCUGGUGUAGCGGUGAAAUGCGCAGAUAUCAGGAAGAACACCCGUGGCGAAGGCGGCUCUCUGGGACGGUACUGACGCUGAGACGCGAAAGCGUGGGGAGCGAACAGG
This 253-nucleotide ribosomal RNA is filed under the name uncultured bacterium. RNAcentral describes it as "partial 16S ribosomal RNA". It matches the Rfam family "Bacterial small subunit ribosomal RNA", at positions 524 to 776 of the family's 1533-position model. The record is from RNAcentral.